CCCGGGCCUUGUACACACCGCCCGUCACACCAUGGGAGUCGAGUUGCUCCAGAAACGGCCGCGCCAACCGCGAAGGGGGUUAGGUCUUUAAGGAGUGACUGGUAACUGGGGUG
This 113-nucleotide ribosomal RNA is filed under the name uncultured bacterium. RNAcentral's name for it is "partial 16S ribosomal RNA". It matches the Rfam family "Bacterial small subunit ribosomal RNA", at positions 1373 to 1482 of the family's 1533-position model. The record is from RNAcentral.